RNAcentral lists this ribosomal RNA (2790 nucleotides) under Escherichia coli. RNAcentral describes it as "bacterial LSU rRNA". It matches the Rfam family "Bacterial large subunit ribosomal RNA". The record is from RNAcentral. Lineage: Bacteria; Pseudomonadati; Pseudomonadota; Gammaproteobacteria; Enterobacterales; Enterobacteriaceae. RNAcentral also lists the same sequence under 1 other name.
AGCGUACACGGUGGAUGCCCUGGCAGUCAGAGGCGAUGAAGGACGUGCUAAUCUGCGAUAAGCGUCGGUAAGGUGAUAUGAACCGUUAUAACCGGCGAUUUCCGAAUGGGGAAACCCAGUGUGAUUCGUCACACUAUCAUUAACUGAAUCCAUAGGUUAAUGAGGCGAACCGGGGGAACUGAAACAUCUAAGUACCCCGAGGAAAAGAAAUCAACCGAGAUUCCCCCAGUAGCGGCGAGCGAACGGGGAGCAGCCCAGAGCCUGAAUCAGUGUGUGUGUUAGUGGAAGCGUCUGGAAAGGCGCGCGAUACAGGGUGACAGCCCCGUACACAAAAAUGCACAUACUGUGAGCUCGAUGAGUAGGGCGGGACACGUGGUAUCCUGUCUGAAUAUGGGGGGACCAUCCUCCAAGGCUAAAUACUCCUGACUGACCGAUAGUGAACCAGUACCGUGAGGGAAAGGCGAAAAGAACCCCGGCGAGGGGAGUGAAAAAGAACCUGAAACCGUGUACGUACAAGCAGUGGGAGCACAGAGCAAUCUGUGUGACUGCGUACCUUUUGUAUAAUGGGUCAGCGACUUAUAUUCUGUAGCAAGGUUAACCGAAUAGGGGAGCCGAAGGGAAACCGAGUCUUAACUGGGCGUUAAGUUGCAGGGUAUAGACCCGAAACCCGGUGAUCUAGCCAUGGGCAGGUUGAAGGUUGGGUAACACUAACUGGAGGACCGAACCGACUAAUGUUGAAAAAUUAGCGGAUGACUUGUGGCUGGGGGUGAAAGGCCAAUCAAACCGGGAGAUAGCUGGUUCUCCCCGAAAGCUAUUUAGGUAGCGCCUCGUGAAUUCAUCUCCGGGGGUAGAGCACUGUUUCGGCAAGGGGGUCAUCCCGACUUACCAACCCGAUGCAAACUGCGAAUACCGGAGAAUGUUAUCACGGGAGACACACGGCGGGUGCUAACGUCCGUCGUGAAGAGGGAAACAACCCAGACCGCCAGCUAAGGUCCCAAAGUCAUGGUUAAGUGGGAAACGAUGUGGGAAGGCCCAGACAGCCAGGAUGUUGGCUUAGAAGCAGCCAUCAUUUAAAGAAAGCGUAAUAGCUCACUGGUCGAGUCGGCCUGCGCGGAAGAUGUAACGGGGCUAAACCAUGCACCGAAGCUGCGGCAGCGACACUAUGUGUUGUUGGGUAGGGGAGCGUUCUGUAAGCCUGUGAAGGUGUACUGUGAGGUAUGCUGGAGGUAUCAGAAGUGCGAAUGCUGACAUAAGUAACGAUAAAGCGGGUGAAAAGCCCGCUCGCCGGAAGACCAAGGGUUCCUGUCCAACGUUAAUCGGGGCAGGGUGAGUCGACCCCUAAGGCGAGGCCGAAAGGCGUAGUCGAUGGGAAACAGGUUAAUAUUCCUGUACUUGGUGUUACUGCGAAGGGGGGACGGAGAAGGCUAUGUUGGCCGGGCGACGGUUGUCCCGGUUUAAGCGUGUAGGCUGGUUUUCCAGGCAAAUCCGGAAAAUCAAGGCUGAGGCGUGAUGACGAGGCACUACGGUGCUGAAGCAACAAAUGCCCUGCUUCCAGGAAAAGCCUCUAAGCAUCAGGUAACAUCAAAUCGUACCCCAAACCGACACAGGUGGUCAGGUAGAGAAUACCAAGGCGCUUGAGAGAACUCGGGUGAAGGAACUAGGCAAAAUGGUGCCGUAACUUCGGGAGAAGGCACGCUGAUAUGUAGGUGAAGCGACUUGCUCGUGGAGCUGAAAUCAGUCGAAGAUACCAGCUGGCUGCAACUGUUUAUUAAAAACACAGCACUGUGCAAACACGAAAGUGGACGUAUACGGUGUGACGCCUGCCCGGUGCCGGAAGGUUAAUUGAUGGGGUUAGCGGUAACGCGAAGCUCUUGAUCGAAGCCCCGGUAAACGGCGGCCGUAACUAUAACGGUCCUAAGGUAGCGAAAUUCCUUGUCGGGUAAGUUCCGACCUGCACGAAUGGCGUAAUGAUGGCCAGGCUGUCUCCACCCGAGACUCAGUGAAAUUGAACUCGCUGUGAAGAUGCAGUGUACCCGCGGCAAGACGGAAAGACCCCGUGAACCUUUACUAUAGCUUGACACUGAACAUUGAGCCUUGAUGUGUAGGAUAGGUGGGAGGCUUAGAAGUGUGGACGCCAGUCUGCAUGGAGCCGACCUUGAAAUACCACCCUUUAAUGUUUGAUGUUCUAACGUUGGCCCCUGAUCGGGGUUGCGGACAGUGUCUGGUGGGUAGUUUGACUGGGGCGGUCUCCUCCUAAAGAGUAACGGAGGAGCACGAAGGUUGGCUAAUCCUGGUCGGACAUCAGGAGGUUAGUGCAAUGGCAUAAGCCAGCUUGACUGCGAGCGUGACGGCGCGAGCAGGUGCGAAAGCAGGUCAUAGUGAUCCGGUGGUUCUGAAUGGAAGGGCCAUCGCUCAACGGAUAAAAGGUACUCCGGGGAUAACAGGCUGAUACCGCCCAAGAGUUCAUAUCGACGGCGGUGUUUGGCACCUCGAUGUCGGCUCAUCACAUCCUGGGGCUGAAGUAGGUCCCAAGGGUAUGGCUGUUCGCCAUUUAAAGUGGUACGCGAGCUGGGUUUAGAACGUCGUGAGACAGUUCGGUCCCUAUCUGCCGUGGGCGCUGGAGAACUGAGGGGGGCUGCUCCUAGUACGAGAGGACCGGAGUGGACGCAUCACUGGUGUUCGGGUUGUCAUGCCAAUGGCACUGCCCGGUAGCUAAAUGCGGAAGAGAUAAGUGCUGAAAGCAUCUAAGCACGAAACUUGCCCCGAGAUGAGUUCUCCCUGACUCCUUGA